CAGCAGCCGCGGGAACACGAGGGGGGCAAGCGUUGUUCGGAAUUACUGGGCGUAAAGCGCGCGUAGGCGGUUACUCAAGUCAGAGGUGAAAGCCCGGGGCUCAACCCCGGAACUGCCUUUGAAACUAGGUGACUAGAAUCUUGGAGAGGUCAGUGGAAUUCCGAGUGUAGAGGUGAAAUUCGUAGAUAUUCGGAGGAACACCAGUGGCGAAGGCGGCAACCUGGUCCAUGACUGACGCUGAGGCGCGAAAGCGUGGGGAGCGAACAGGAUUAGAUACCCCCGUAGUCCCUGUCUCUUUACA
This 301-nucleotide ribosomal RNA is filed under the name uncultured bacterium. Its description in RNAcentral is "partial 16S ribosomal RNA". It matches the Rfam family "Bacterial small subunit ribosomal RNA", at positions 509 to 808 of the family's 1533-position model. The record is from RNAcentral.